UUUGAUGGAAAGGCAAUCGCUUAUACACAAUUUAAUGUUGUUAUAAGAGGAAAGUCCGAACUCCAUAGAACAUUAUGCUUCCUAACAGGAAGACCACACCUAACCGUUGUGGAUGGAAAGUGCAACAGAAAAUAUACCGCAACAUAAUCGUAGUUUAAUGCAUUAUGCUGUAAGGGUGAAAUGGUGGUGUAAGAGACCACCGCAUAGUUGGCGACAACUAUGGCAGUGCAAACCCCAUAAGGAGCAAAACCAAGCAAGAUAUGUGGCACUUUGGCUAAUGCUUUGUUCGAGCAAGUAUCUGGGUAGGUUGCUAUAGUUUAUUGGCAACAAUAAAUACAGAUAAAUGAUUGCCUCUAUUAUCCUCAGGUAAUAAAGACAGAAUUCGGCUUAUUAUUCGUCAUCAGUA
This 406-nucleotide RNase P RNA is filed under the name Ignavibacteria bacterium. Its description in RNAcentral is "RNase P RNA component class A". It matches the Rfam family "Bacterial RNase P class A". Rfam says of the family: Ribonuclease P (RNase P) is a ubiquitous endoribonuclease, found in archaea, bacteria and eukarya as well as chloroplasts and mitochondria. The record is from RNAcentral. Lineage: Bacteria; Pseudomonadati; Ignavibacteriota; Ignavibacteria.